RNAcentral lists this ribosomal RNA (1388 nucleotides) under bacterium NLAE-zl-P923. RNAcentral's name for it is "16S ribosomal RNA". It matches the Rfam family "Bacterial small subunit ribosomal RNA". The record is from RNAcentral.
GUCGAGGGGCAGCAUUUCAGUUUGCUUGCAAACUGGAGAUGGCGACCGGCGCACGGGUGAGUAACACGUAUCCAACCUGCCGAUAACUCGGGGAUAGCCUUUCGAAAGAAAGAUUAAUACCCGAUGGUAUAAUCAGACCGCAUGGUCUUAUUAUUAAAGAAUUUCGGUUAUCGAUGGGGAUGCGUUCCAUUAGGCAGUUGGUGAGGUAACGGCUCACCAAACCUUCGAUGGAUAGGGGUUCUGAGAGGAAGGUCCCCCACAUUGGAACUGAGACACGGUCCAAACUCCUACGGGAGGCAGCAGUGAGGAAUAUUGGUCAAUGGGCGCAGGCCUGAACCAGCCAAGUAGCGUGAAGGAUGACUGCCCUAUGGGUUGUAAACUCCUUUUAUAUGGGAAUAAAGUUUUCCACGUGUGGAAUUUUGUAUGUACCAUAUGAAUAAGGAUCGGCUAACUCCGUGCCAGCAGCCGCGGUAAUACGGAGGAUCCGAGCGUUAUCCGGAUUUAUUGGGUUUAAAGGGAGCGUAGGUGGACAGUUAAGUCAGUUGUGAAAGUUUGCGGCUCAACCGUAAAAUUGCAGUUGAUACUGGCUGUCUUGAGUACAGUAGAGGUGGGCGGAAUUCGUGGUGUAGCGGUGAAAUGCUUAGAUAUCACGAAGAACUCCGAUUGCGAAGGCAGCUCACUGGACUGCAACUGACACUGAUGCUCGAAAGUGUGGGUAUCAAACAGGAUUAGAUACCCUGGUAGUCCACACAGUAAACGAUGAAUACUCGCUGUUUGCGAUAUACAGUAAGCGGCCAAGCGAAAGCAUUAAGUAUUCCACCUGGGGAGUACGCCGGCAACGGUGAAACUCAAAGGAAUUGACGGGGGCCCGCACAAGCGGAGGAACAUGUGGUUUAAUUCGAUGAUACGCGAGGAACCUUACCCGGGCUUAAAUUGCAUUUGAAUAANUUGGAAACAGNNUAGCCGCAAGGCAAAUGUGAAGGUGCUGCAUGGUUGUCGUCAGCUCGUGCCGUGAGGUGUCGGCUUAAGUGCCAUAACGAGCGCAACCCUUAUCUUUAGUUACUAACAGGUCAUGCUGAGGACUCUAGAGAGACUGCCGUCGUAAGAUGUGAGGAAGGUGGGGAUGACGUCAAAUCAGCACGGCCCUUACGUCCGGGGCUACACACGUGUUACAAUGGGGGGUACAGAAGGCAGCUACCUGGUGACAGGAUGCUAAUCCCAAAAGCCUCUCUCAGUUCGGAUCGAAGUCUGCAACCCGACUUCGUGAAGCUGGAUUCGCUAGUAAUCGCGCAUCAGCCAUGGCGCGGUGAAUACGUUCCCGGGCCUUGUACACACCGCCCGUCAAGCCAUGAAAGCCGGGGGUACCUGAAGUACGUAACCGCAAGGAG